AUUGAACGCUGGCGGCAUGCCUUACACAUGCAAGUCGAACGGUAACGGGCCUUCGGGUGCCGACGAGUGGCGAACGGGGGAGUAAUACAUCGGAACAUGCCCGAACGAGGGGGAGAAAGCGGCGAAAGCUUUGGAAAAACCCCGUACAAGACACGGAGGAAAAAAGGGGGCAGCAAGGCAUCUCGCGCACUUGGCGCCCCCGAUGGCAGAUUAGCUAGUUGGUGGGAUAAAGGCUUACCAAGGCGACGAUCUGUAGCUGGUCUGAGAGGAUGACCAGCCACACUGGGACUGAGACACGGCCCAGACUCCUACGGGAGGCAGCAGUGGGGAAUUUUGGACAAUGGGCGCAAGCCUGAUCCAGCCAUGCCGCGUGCAGGAUGAAGGCCUUCGGGUUGUAAACUGCUUUUGUACGGAACGAAAAGCCUUCUGUUAAUACAGGAGGGUCAUGACGGUACCGUAAGAAUAAGCACCGGCUAACUACGUG
RNAcentral lists this ribosomal RNA (484 nucleotides) under uncultured bacterium. RNAcentral describes it as "partial 16S ribosomal RNA". It matches the Rfam family "Bacterial small subunit ribosomal RNA", at positions 29 to 507 of the family's 1533-position model. The record is from RNAcentral.